This 375-nucleotide non-coding RNA is filed under the name Homo sapiens (human). Lineage: Eukaryota; Metazoa; Chordata; Mammalia; Primates; Hominidae. The record is from RNAcentral.
GUUGGUGUUCGAGGAAGAGACAUUGUUGUUCUUGGUGUGGAGAAGAAGUCAGUGGCCAAACUGCAGGAUGAAAGAACAGUGCGGAAGAUCUGUGCUUUGGAUGACAACGUCUGCAUGGCCUUUGCAGGCCUCACCGCCGAUGCAAGGAUAGUCAUCAACAGGGCCCGGGUGGAGUGCCAGAGCCACCGGCUGACUGUGGAGGACCCGGUCACUGUGGAGUACAUCACCCGCUACAUCGCCAGUCUGAAGCAGCGUUAUACGCAGAGCAAUGGGCGCAGGCCGUUUGGCAUCUCUGCCCUCAUCGUGGGUUUCGACUUUGAUGGCACUCCUAGGCUCUAUCAGACUGACCCCUCGGGCACAUACCAUGCCUGGAAG